This 245-nucleotide ribosomal RNA is filed under the name uncultured bacterium. RNAcentral describes it as "partial 16S ribosomal RNA". It matches the Rfam family "Bacterial small subunit ribosomal RNA", at positions 15 to 255 of the family's 1533-position model. The record is from RNAcentral.
GAUCCUGGCUUAGGACGAACGCUGGCGGCGCGCCUAACACAUGCAAGUCGAACGAGAGAGGAAGAGCUUGCUUUUCCGAUCGAGUGGCGAACGGGUGAGUAACGCGUGAGGAACCUGCCUCAAAGAGGGGGACAACAGUUGGAAACGACUGCUAAUACCGCAUAAGCCCACGGCUCGGCAUCGAGCAGAGGGAAAAGGAGCAAUCCGCUUUGAGAUGGCCUCGCGUCCGAUUAGCUAGUUGGUGG